GUUUUGCCUGCUCAGUACCCACUACCCCCUCCCAUAUGCUCAUUGCUUCCUUCCCAUUUUUCUUUCAAGGGGCAUGAUCUUUGAGCUGCGGUUCCCUUUACCUUUUAGCACGCGUAGUAGGCAAAACGACGUUGUUUUCCCUUUUGUGUAUCGUUUUGUUAGAGUGGUAGUCCUUCCCUACGUCAGUUCUCGCUUGCCCGAAC
Molecule: unclassified non-coding RNA, 203 nt
Filed under: Hevea brasiliensis (rubber tree)
Lineage: Eukaryota; Viridiplantae; Streptophyta; Magnoliopsida; Malpighiales; Euphorbiaceae
Source: RNAcentral